RNAcentral lists this ribosomal RNA (254 nucleotides) under uncultured bacterium. RNAcentral describes it as "partial 16S ribosomal RNA". It matches the Rfam family "Bacterial small subunit ribosomal RNA", at positions 524 to 777 of the family's 1533-position model. The record is from RNAcentral.
GACGUAGGGCGCGAGCGUUGUCCGGAUUUACUGGGCGUAAAGAGCGCGCAGGCGGUCGGAUAAGUCGAAUGUGAAAGCCCCUGGCUCAACCAGGGAGGGUCAUUCGAUACUGUUCGACUCGAAGGCAGGAGAGGGAAGUGGAAUUCCGGGUGUAGUGGUGAAAUGCGUAGAUAUCCGGAGGAACACCAGUGGCGAAGGCGACUUUCUGGCCUGUUCUUGACGCUGAGGCGCGAAAGCUAGGGGAGCAAACGGGG